This 245-nucleotide ribosomal RNA is filed under the name uncultured Burkholderia sp. RNAcentral describes it as "partial 16S ribosomal RNA". It matches the Rfam family "Bacterial small subunit ribosomal RNA", at positions 524 to 768 of the family's 1533-position model. The record is from RNAcentral. Lineage: Bacteria; Pseudomonadati; Pseudomonadota; Betaproteobacteria; Burkholderiales; Burkholderiaceae.
UACGUAGGGUGCGAGCGUUAAUCGGAAUUACUGGGCGUAAAGCGUGCGCAGGCGGUUUGUUAAGACCGAUGUGAAAUCCCCGGGCUCAACCUGGGAACUGCAUUGGUGACUGGCAAGCUAGAGUAUGGCAGAGGGGGGUAGAAUUCCACGUGUAGCAGUGAAAUGCGUAGAGAUGUGGAGGAAUACCGAUGGCGAAGGCAGCCCCCUGGGCCAAUACUGACGCUCAUGCACGAAAGCGUGGGGAG